UACAGAGGGGGCAAGCGUUAUUCGGAAUUAUUGGGCGUAAAGGGCGCGUAGGCGGCUUGGCAAGUGGAAGGUGAAAUCCCUCGGCUUAACCGAGGAACUGCCCUCCAAACUGCUUUGCUUGAGGCCGGGAGAGGUGAGUGGAAUUCCCAGUGUAGCGGUGAAAUGCGUAGAUAUUGGGAGGAACACCAGUGGCGAAGGCGGCUCACUGGACCGGUUCUGACGCUGAGGAGCGAAAGCGUGGGGAGCGAACAGG
This 253-nucleotide ribosomal RNA is filed under the name uncultured bacterium. Its description in RNAcentral is "partial 16S ribosomal RNA". It matches the Rfam family "Bacterial small subunit ribosomal RNA", at positions 524 to 776 of the family's 1533-position model. The record is from RNAcentral.